AUUGAACGCUGGCGGCGUGCCUAACACAUGCAAGUCGAGCGGUAACAGGUGUAGCAAUACAUGCUGACGAGCGGCGGACGGGUGAGUAACGCUUGGGAAUCUGCCUGUUAGUGGGGGACAACCCGGGGAAACUCGGGCUAAUACCGCAUACGCACUACGGUGGAAAGCCGGGGACCGCAAGGCCUGGCGCUAACAGAUGAGCCCAAGUCGGAUUAGCUAGUUGGUAGGUAACGGCCUACCAAGGCGACGAUCCGUAACUGGUCUGAGAGGACGACCAGUCACACCGGAACUGAGACACGGUCCGGACUCCUACGGGAGGCAGCAGUGGGGAAUAUUGGACAAUGGGCGAAAGCCUGAUCCAGCGACGCCGCGUGGGUGAAGAAGGCCUGCGGGUUGUAAAGCCCUUUCGGUGGGG
Molecule: ribosomal RNA, 415 nt
Filed under: uncultured bacterium
Lineage: Bacteria
Description: bacterial SSU rRNA
Rfam family: Bacterial small subunit ribosomal RNA
Source: RNAcentral